UACGAAGGGCGCAAACGUUGCUCGGAAUUAUUGGGCGUAAAGCGCACGUAGGCGGCUCUAUAAGUCGGAUGUGAAAUCCCUCGGCUUAACCAAGGAAGUGCAUCCGAAACUGCAGAGCUUGAGUACUUAAGAGGAUCGCGGAAUUCCCGGUGUAGAGGUGAAAUUCGUAGAUAUCGGGAGGAACACCAGUGGCGAAGGCGGCGAUCUGGGAAGAUACUGACGCUGAGGUGCGAAAGCGUGGGGAGCAAACAGG
This 253-nucleotide ribosomal RNA is filed under the name uncultured bacterium. RNAcentral describes it as "partial 16S ribosomal RNA". It matches the Rfam family "Bacterial small subunit ribosomal RNA", at positions 524 to 776 of the family's 1533-position model. The record is from RNAcentral.